GAGCUUAUUCAUAAAAGUGCAGUAUGGUGGAGUCAGUCUGUAAUUUUAUGUAUAAGCUGGUC
RNAcentral lists this microRNA precursor (62 nucleotides) under Macaca mulatta (Rhesus monkey). RNAcentral's name for it is "Mml-Mir-590_pre stem-loop". The record is from RNAcentral. Lineage: Eukaryota; Metazoa; Chordata; Mammalia; Primates; Cercopithecidae.